RNAcentral lists this long non-coding RNA (342 nucleotides) under Mytilus galloprovincialis (Mediterranean mussel). Lineage: Eukaryota; Metazoa; Mollusca; Bivalvia; Mytilida; Mytilidae. The record is from RNAcentral.
UGCCGCUUGUGAAAUUAAACAGACAGUCGUAUCGUAUCGGUCAACUAAUUUAUGAUGGUGACAAUCACCUUCACGAAGUGUUGAAAUCAGUAAAUCUUCCUCAUAACUCUGUCGGAGCAAUUUUUGCGCUCGCCCUGCAACAUCUGAUACCAAAUUCCAUAAAGAAAACGUUUUGGUUGCCUGUAAUCAAUUACCAAGCAUAAUGCAUAUAAUGUACAGGACACAAAUCACAAUGUUGUUAUGAUUAUAAUCAUCGUCAGUUCAGACUCAAGUAUAUUUGCAUAUUUAAUUUCAAAUAACGAAUUGUUUAUUUAUCUAAUCGUUCGUGAAUUUUCAAAGUUU